This 497-nucleotide ribosomal RNA is filed under the name uncultured bacterium. Its description in RNAcentral is "partial 16S ribosomal RNA". It matches the Rfam family "Bacterial small subunit ribosomal RNA", at positions 28 to 507 of the family's 1533-position model. The record is from RNAcentral.
GACGAACGCUGGCGGCGUGCCUAAUACAUGCAAGUUGAGCGCUGAAGGUUGGUACUUGUACCGACUGGAUGAGCAGCGAACGGGUGAGUAACGCGUGGUGAAUCUGCCUUUGAGCGGGGGACAACUUUUGGAAACGAAUGCUAAUACCGCAUAAAAACUUUAAACACAAGUUUUAAUUUUGAAAGAUGCAAUUGCUUCACUCAAUGAUGAUCCCGCGUUGUAUUAGCUAGUUGGUGAGGUAAAGGCUCACCAAGGCGAUGAUACAUAGCCGACCUGAGAAGGUGAUCGGCCAAAAUGGGAAUGAGAAAAGGCCCAAAAUACUACGGGAGGGAGCAGGAGGGAAACUUCGGCAAAGGACGAAAGUCUGACCGAGCAAAGCCGGGUGAGGGAAGAAGGUUGUGGGAUCGUAAAAAUCUGUUGGUAGAGAAGAAAGAAGGGGAGAGUGGAAAGCGCAUGAAGUGACGGUAACUACACAGAAAGGGACGGCUAACUACGUG